GACGAACGCUGGCGGCGUGCUUAACACAUGCCAGUCGAACGGUGAUGCUCCAGCUUGCUGGAGUGGAUCAGUGGCGAACGGGUGAGUAACACGUGAGCAACCUGCCCCAGACUCUGGAAUAAGCGCUGGAAACGGCGUCUAAUACUGGAUACGAAACUGGCCCGCAUGGGCAUGGUUUGGAAAGUUUUUCGGUUUGGGAUGGGCUCGCGGCCUAUCAGCUUGUUUGUGAGGUAAUGGCUCACCAAGGCGACGACGGGUAGCCGGCCUGAGAGGGCGACCGGCCACACUGGGACUGAGACACGGCCCAGACUCCUACGGGAGGCAGCAGUGGGGAAUAUUGCACAAUGGGCGAAAGCCUGAUGCAGCGACGCCGCGUGAGGGAUGACGGCCUUCGGGUUGUAAACCUCUUUCAGCAGGGAAGAAGCGAAAGUGACGGUACCUGCAGAAGAAGCACCGGCUAACUACGUG
Molecule: ribosomal RNA, 468 nt
Filed under: uncultured bacterium
Lineage: Bacteria
Description: partial 16S ribosomal RNA
Rfam family: Bacterial small subunit ribosomal RNA
Source: RNAcentral